GACGAACGCUGGCGGCGUGCCUAACACAUGCAAGUCGAGCGAAUGAAGUUCCUUCGGGAAUGGAUUUAGCGGCGGACGGGUGAGUAACACGUGGGCAACCUGCCUCAUAGAGGGGAAUAGCCUCCCGAAAGGGAGAUUAAUACCGCAUAAGAUUGUAGUACCGCAUGAUACAGCAAUUAAAGGAGCAAUCCGCUAUGAGAUGGGCCCGCGGCGCAUUAGCUAGUUGGUGAGGUAAUGGCUCACCAAGGCGACGAUGCGUAGCCGACCUGAGAGGGUGAUCGGCCACAUUGGGACUGAGACACGGCCCAGACUCCUACGGGAGGCAGCAGUGGGGAAUAUUGCACAAUGGGGGAAACCCUGAUGCAGCAACGCCGCGUGAGUGAUGACGGCCUUCGGGUUGUAAAGCUCUGUCUUCAUGGACGAUAAUGACGGUACCUGAGGAGGAAGCCACGGCUAACUACGUG
This 464-nucleotide ribosomal RNA is filed under the name uncultured bacterium. Its description in RNAcentral is "partial 16S ribosomal RNA". It matches the Rfam family "Bacterial small subunit ribosomal RNA", at positions 28 to 507 of the family's 1533-position model. The record is from RNAcentral.